CAUACCUCUAUGAAGUGGCUGAGAUCACGCAGCGACAUUCUGAAAAAGAGCAGAGGAAACGGGCAAAAGGUUACAACAAGAAAGUCAGAGGGACAUGUCUGGAUAUUGGGGACCAUGUGCUAGUAGCAAAUAAAGGAGAAAGAGGAAAUAGGAAACUAGCAGAUAAGUGGGACCCUGUAGUGUACACUGUAGUGGACAGGAACCUGCAGACGCACACUUACAAACUCAAGGAUGAGAAAGGGAGUGUGAGGUUAGUGCACAGGAACCUGCUGUUGGAAAUUAGUUUCCUACCUGUUGAGUUGCCUGAUGAGGAAGGAAGCAUACUACCUUCUACAGGGGAGUCAGAGUGUGAGACGCAUAGCAUCAGGAGUGAGUUCUGUGUGGAAGACUUCGAUCCGAGGGGCCUGGAGGAAAGAACCAUGAGUUGGGUGAAAGACGACUUUGAAAGCCCUGCAGUUCAAGACUCUGAUGUUGAGAAAGUGAUUGGAAUGGACCAUUUCAGUUUGGAUGGAAGAGAGUCCAGUGAUCAGUUGCAGACUAAAGAGAAUAGUAGCAGGGAUCUGCCUCAGAGUGAAGCUGAAGCCAGUCCAACAUCUCUUGACGUUAUCCCUGACUGUGACACAGAUACGCAUACACAAAUUCAGACUGACAUUCAAACUGACACUGACACCCAAGUUCCAAUUCCUGAUGUUCAGGGUGUUAAGACACGAGCAGGUAGAGUUGUUAAGAAAGUGAAUAGAUUAAUUGAGUCAAUGGUUCAGAAACUCUUUUACCUCCAAGGUGUAGGAAGUAAUCUGAAAAAGAGAACUGGGUCAUUUCUUUCUUUGUUCUAAAGAGAACUCUGCUGUGUUUUGUUUUUGUAUGAUGUGAAAAAACAUUUUGAUUCCAAUGAUAAAAUACAGGGGUCAGGUCAUAUUAUGGUGUACCAGGCAUCGUAAUGUUCCAAGAUGAUCUUAGGCUUGAUCACCCUGAGGUUUUUCUUGACCUAAUAGUGGGUAACUCUCAAGUUGAACUAAUGAAUGUUUCAUUGUAUAUAUGUACCAGGCAAUUGAUUUG
RNAcentral lists this long non-coding RNA (1056 nucleotides) under Sinocyclocheilus grahami. RNAcentral's name for it is "lncRNA (ENSSGRG00000024365.1)". The record is from RNAcentral. Lineage: Eukaryota; Metazoa; Chordata; Actinopteri; Cypriniformes; Cyprinidae.